CCCUUAGAUGUUCUGGGCCGCACGCGCGCUACACUGACGAAGUCAGCGAGCAUGUCCUACGCCGACAGGUGCGGGGAAUCUUGUCAAACUUCGUCGUGAUGGGGAUUGAUUAUUGAAAUCCUUGAUCAUCAACGAGGAAUUCCUAGUAAGCGCAAGUCAGCAGCUUGCGUUGAUUACGUCCCUGCCCUUUGUACACACCGCCCGUCGCUACUACCGAUUGAAUGGUUUAGUGAGAUCUUCGGAUUGGCGCCACUGCGGCUCAGCAAUGGGCUCGGUGGAUGCCGAAAAGUUGAUCAAACUUGAUCAUUUAGAGGAAGUAAAAGUCGUAACA
Molecule: ribosomal RNA, 331 nt
Filed under: uncultured eukaryote
Lineage: Eukaryota
Description: partial 18S ribosomal RNA
Rfam family: Eukaryotic small subunit ribosomal RNA
Source: RNAcentral